RNAcentral lists this non-coding RNA (26 nucleotides) under Drosophila erecta. RNAcentral also lists the same sequence under 3 other names. Lineage: Eukaryota; Metazoa; Arthropoda; Insecta; Diptera; Drosophilidae. The record is from RNAcentral.
CAUUAGAUGACUGAAAGCAAGUACUG